GUGCUUGUUAUGGCAGCACAUAUACUAAAAUUAGAAUGAUACAGAGAAGAUUAGCACGGCCCCUGAACAAGAAUGACAUGUAAAUAUGUGAAGCAUUCCAUAUUUUA
RNAcentral lists this small nuclear RNA (107 nucleotides) under Dasypus novemcinctus (nine-banded armadillo). Lineage: Eukaryota; Metazoa; Chordata; Mammalia; Cingulata; Dasypodidae. The record is from RNAcentral.